AGCUUCUUCCUCAGCUCGCUUUGUCGGAAAGCAAACUCGGGAAGGCGCG
This 49-nucleotide microRNA precursor is filed under the name Ciona intestinalis (vase tunicate). RNAcentral describes it as "microRNA cin-mir-4123 precursor". Lineage: Eukaryota; Metazoa; Chordata; Ascidiacea; Phlebobranchia; Cionidae. The record is from miRBase by way of RNAcentral.